This 24-nucleotide non-coding RNA is filed under the name Arabidopsis thaliana (thale cress). Lineage: Eukaryota; Viridiplantae; Streptophyta; Magnoliopsida; Brassicales; Brassicaceae. The record is from RNAcentral.
GGGAUGCAUGCCUUUAAUUAAAUA